RNAcentral lists this ribosomal RNA (465 nucleotides) under uncultured Klebsiella sp. RNAcentral's name for it is "bacterial SSU rRNA". It matches the Rfam family "Bacterial small subunit ribosomal RNA", at positions 338 to 795 of the family's 1533-position model. The record is from RNAcentral. Lineage: Bacteria; Pseudomonadati; Pseudomonadota; Gammaproteobacteria; Enterobacterales; Enterobacteriaceae.
CCUACGGGUGGCAGCAGUGGGGAAUAUUGCACAAUGGGCGCAAGCCUGAUGCAGCCAUGCCGCGUGUGUGAAGAAGGCCUUCGGGUUGUAAAGCACUUUCAGCGGGGAGGAAGGCGUUAAGGUUAAUAACCUUGUCGAUUGACGUUACCCGCAGAAGAAGCACCGGCUAACUCCGUGCCAGCAGCCGCGGUAAUACGGAGGGUGCAAGCGUUAAUCGGAAUUACUGGGCGUAAAGCGCACGCAGGCGGUCUGUCAAGUCGGAUGUGAAAUCCCCGGGCUCAACCUGGGAACUGCAUUCGAAACUGGCAGGCUAGAGUCUUGUAGAGGGGGGUAGAAUUCCAGGUGUAGCGGUGAAAUGCGUAGAAAUCUGGAGGAAUACCGGUGGCGAAGGCGGCCCCCUGGACAAAGACUGACGCUCAGGUGCGAAAGGGUGGGGAGCAAACAGGAUUAGAUACCCGAGUAGUC